RNAcentral lists this ribosomal RNA (482 nucleotides) under uncultured bacterium. Its description in RNAcentral is "partial 16S ribosomal RNA". It matches the Rfam family "Bacterial small subunit ribosomal RNA", at positions 28 to 523 of the family's 1533-position model. The record is from RNAcentral.
GACGAACGCUGGCGGCGUGCUUAACACAUGCAAGUCGAACGAUGAAAUGGAGCUUGCUCCAUGGAUUAGUGGCGAACGGGUGAGUAACACGUGAAUAACCUGCCCUUAAUUUUGGAAUAACCCAGGGAAACCUGCGCUAAUACCGGAAAAGUAAACCUGUGGCAUCACAUGGUUUUGGAAAGUUUUGCGAUUAAGGAUGAAUGCGCGGCCUAUCAGCUUGUUGGUGAGGUAAUGGCUCACCAAGGCGACGACGGGUAGCCGGCCUGAGAGGGUGAACGGCCACACUGGGACUGAGACACGGCCCAGACUCCUACGGGAGGCAGCAGUGGGGAAUAUUGCGCAAUGGACGAAAGUCUGACGCAGCGACGCCUCGUGAGGGACGAAGGUCUUCGGAUUGUAAACCUCUUUCGGCAGGGAUGAAGCGAAAGUGACGGUACCUGCAGAAGAAGCACCGGCUAACUACGUGCCAGCCGCCGCAGUAA